Molecule: ribosomal RNA, 463 nt
Filed under: uncultured bacterium
Lineage: Bacteria
Description: bacterial SSU rRNA
Rfam family: Bacterial small subunit ribosomal RNA
Source: RNAcentral
ACGCUGGCGGCGUGCUUAACACAUGCAAGUCGAGCGGGGAUUUGGGGCUUCGGCUCCGGAUUCUAGCGGCGGACGGGUGAGUAACGCGUGAACAAUCUGUCCCAGACAGGGGGAUAACACUUGGAAACAGGUGCUAAUACCGCAUAAGACCACGGGCUCGCAUGAGCUUGAGGUAAAAGGAGCAAUCCGGUUUGGGGUGAGUUCGCGUCCGAUUAGCUAGUUGGUGAGGUAACGGCCCACCAAGGCGACGAUCAGUAGCCGGGCUGAGAGGCUCUGCGGCCACAUUGGGACUGAGAUACGGCCCAGACUCCUACGGGAGGCAGCAGUGGGGAAUAUUGGGCAAUGGGGGAAACCCUGACCCAGCAACGCCGCGUGAAGGAAGAAGGUCUUCGGAUCGUAAACUUCUGUUCUUGGUGAAGAGAAGAAGACGGUAGCCAAGGAGGAAGCCCCGGCUAACUACGUG